This is a ribosomal RNA of 2375 nucleotides. It matches the Rfam family "Bacterial large subunit ribosomal RNA", at positions 565 to 2925 of the family's 2925-position model.
UACAAGCAGUGGGAGCACCUUCGUGGUGUGACUGCGUACCUUUUGUAUAAUGGGUCAGCGACUUAUAUUCAGUAGCAAGGUUAACCGUAUAGGGGAGCCGUAGAGAAACCGAGUCUUAAUAGGGCGUUUAGUUGCUGGGUAUAGACCCGAAACCAGGCGAUCUAUCCAUGAGCAGGUUGAAGGUUGGGUAACACUAACUGGAGGACCGAACCCACUGUCGUUGAAAAGCCAGGGGAUGACUUGUGGAUAGGGGUGAAAGGCUAAUCAAGCCUGGUGAUAGCUGGUUCUCCCCGAAAGCUAUUUAGGUAGCGCCUCGGACGAAUACCAUAGGGGGUAGAGCACUGUUUCGGCUAGGGGGUCAUCCCGACUUACCAAACCGAUGCAAACUCCGAAUACCUAUGAGUACUAUCCGGGAGACAGACUGCGGGUGCUAACGUCCGUAGUCAAGAGGAAAACAAUCCAGACCGCCAGCUAAGGCCCCAAAAUCAUAGUUAAGUGGGAAACGAUGUGGGAAGGCAUAGACAGCUAGGAGGUUGGCUUAGAAGCAGCCACCCUUUAAAGAAAGCGUAAUAGCUCACUAGUCGAGUCGGCCUGCGCGGAAGAUGUAACGGGGCUAAAACUAUGUGCCGAAGCUGCGGAUUUGACAUUAGUCAAGUGGUAGGGGAGCGUUCUGUAAGCCGAUGAAGGUGUAUUGAGAAGUAUGCUGGAGGUAUCAGAAGUGCGAAUGCUGACGUGAGUAACGACAAAACGGGUGAAAAACCCGUUCGCCGAAAGACCAAGGGUUCCAGUCCAACGUUAAUCGGGGCUGGGUGAGUCGACCCCUAAGGCGAGGCCGAAAGGCGUAGUCGAUGGGAAAUUGGUUAAUAUUCCAAUACUUCUGUGUAAUGCGAUGAGAGGACGGAGAAGGUUAAGUCAGCCUGGCGUUGGUUGUCCAGGUGGAAGGAUGUAGGUAUGUAUCUUAGGCAAAUCCGGGGUACUCUAUACUGAGAUCCGAUAGCAAGCUGUACUUGUACAGUGAAGUGGCUGAUACCAUGCUUCCAGGAAAAGUCUCUAAGCUUCAGUUACACAGGAAUCGUACCCGAAACCGACACAGGUGGUCAGGUCGAGUAGACCAAGGCGCUUGAGAGAACUCUGCUGAAGGAACUAGGCAAAAUGGUACCGUAACUUCGGGAGAAGGUACGCUGUUGUUGGUGAUGGAACUUGCUUCCUGAGCUGACGACAGCCGCAGAAACCAGGCCGCUGCAACUGUUUAUUAAAAACAUAGCACUCUGCAAACACGAAAGUGGACGUAUAGGGUGUGAUGCCUGCCCGGUGCUGGAAGGUUAAUUGAUGGGGUUAGCGUAAGCGAAGCUCUUGAUCGAAGCCCCAGUAAACGGCGGCCGUAACUAUAACGGUCCUAAGGUAGCGAAAUUCCUUGUCGGGUAAGUUCCGACCUGCACGAAUGGCAUAAUGAUGGCGGCGCUGUCUCCAGCAGAGGCUCAGUGAAAUCGAAAUCGCUGUGAAGAUGCAGUGUACCCGCGGCUAGACGGAAAGACCCCGUGAACCUUUACUGCAGCUUGACACUGAACUUUGACCUUACUUGUGUAGGAUAGGUGGGAGGCUUUGAAGUUGGAACGCUAGUUCCAAUGGAGCCGUCCUUGAAAUACCACCCUGGUAAUGUUGAGGUUCUAACUCUGUCCCGUUAUCCGGGACGAGGACCGUGUCUGGUGGGUAGUUUGACUGGGGCGGUCUCCUCCUAAAGAGUAACGGAGGAGUACGAAGGUGCGCUCAGCGUGGUCGGAAAUCACGCGUAGAGUAUAAAGGCAAAAGCGCGCUUAACUGCGAGACCCACAAGUCGAGCAGGUACGAAAGUAGGUCUUAGUGAUCCGGUGGUUCUGUAUGGAAGGGCCAUCGCUCAACGGAUAAAAGGUACUCUGGGGAUAACAGGCUGAUACCGCCCAAGAGUUCAUAUCGACGGCGGUGUUUGGCACCUCGAUGUCGGCUCAUCUCAUCCUGGGGCUGAAGCAGGUCCCAAGGGUAUGGCUGUUCGCCAUUUAAAGAGGUACGCGAGCUGGGUUUAGAACGUCGUGAGACAGUUCGGUCCCUAUCUACCGUGGGCGCUGGAAAUUUGAGAGGAUCUGCUCCUAGUACGAGAGGACCAGAGUGGACGAACCUCUGGUGUACCGGUUGUGACGCCAGUCGCAUCGCCGGGUAGCUAUGUUCGGAAGGGAUAACCGCUGAAAGCAUCUAAGCGGGAAGCCUACCUCAAGAUAAGAUUUCCCUAGGAAUUUAUUCCUCUAAAGAGCCGUUCGAGACUAGGACGUUGAUAGGUUGGAUGUGGAAGCAUAGUGAUAUGUGAAGCUGACCAAUACUAAUUGCUCGUGAGGCUUGACUAU